This 77-nucleotide transfer RNA is filed under the name Candidatus Daviesbacteria bacterium RIFCSPHIGHO2_01_FULL_44_29. Its description in RNAcentral is "tRNA-Glu". It matches the Rfam family "tRNA". From Rfam's summary of the family: Transfer RNA (tRNA) molecules are approximately 80 nucleotides in length. Their secondary structure includes four short double-helical elements and three loops (D, anti-codon, and T loops). Further hydrogen bonds mediate the characteristic L-shaped molecular structure. tRNAs have two regions of fundamental functional importance: the anti-codon, which is responsible for specific mRNA codon recognition, and the 3' end, to which the tRNAs corresponding amino acid is attached (by aminoacyl-tRNA synthetases). tRNAs cope with the degeneracy of the genetic code in two manners: having more than one tRNA (with a specific anti-codon) for a particular amino acid; and 'wobble' base-pairing, i.e. permitting non-standard base-pairing at the 3rd anti-codon position. Lineage: Bacteria; Candidatus Daviesiibacteriota. RNAcentral also lists the same sequence under 3 other names. The record is from RNAcentral.
GACCCCAUCGUCUAGUGGCCUAGGACACAGGGUUUUCAUCCCUGUAAUCAGGGGUUCGAAUCCCCUUGGGGUCACCA